This 427-nucleotide ribosomal RNA is filed under the name uncultured bacterium. RNAcentral describes it as "partial 16S ribosomal RNA". It matches the Rfam family "Bacterial small subunit ribosomal RNA", at positions 355 to 774 of the family's 1533-position model. The record is from RNAcentral.
UGGGGAAUAUUGCACAAUGGGCGCAAGCCUGAUGCAGCCAUGCCGCGUGUAUGAAGAAGGCCUUCGGGUUGUAAAGUACUUUCAGCGGGGAGGAAGGUGUUGAGGCUAAUAACCUCAGCAAUUGACGUUACCCGCAGAAGAAGCACCGGCUAACUCCGUGCCAGCAGCCGCGGUAAUACGGAGGGUGCAAGCGUUAAUCGGAAUUACUGGGCGUAAAGCGCACGCAGGCGGUCUGUCAAGUCGGAUGUGAAGUCCCCGGGCUCAACCUGGGAACUGCAUUCGAAACUGGCAGGCUAGAGUCUUGUAGAGGGGGGUAGAAUUCCAGGUGUAGCGGUGAAAUGCGUAGAGAUCUGGAGGAAUACCGGUGGCGAAGGCGGCCCCCUGGACAAAGACUGACGCUCAGGUGCGAAAGCGUGGGGAGCAAACA